CUAAACCCAGCUAUAACCUCCCAACUUCAACUACUGCCUGCUAAACCCAGCUAUAACCUCCCAACUUCAACUACUGCCCACUAAACCCAGCUAUAACCUCCCAACUUCAACUACUGUCCCCCAAACCAGGAUGACCCAUAUCUCCCAGACGGAGUCUCAUCCCAGUCUGAGCCUGACCCCUCAACCGCCACUCUACACACAGGGACUUGCAUCUCACACACAUUGAUGUACAGGGUUACACACACACUCACUCACAUAGACAUAGACAUACUCUCACAUGUACAUUUACUGACACACACACACAUACUCUCACUUCUACAGUACACAUCCAUAUACACAAGGGCAAUGCUUAGAGUGACAAAUGGCUGACCAACACAGUACAAGAUCAAUGGGAUCAACCUAUAUCAUUAUUGAGAUAUACUCAGUCUACAUUGUCAUAAAUACACACAAUGUCGAACGCACACACACACACACAGCUGUUUGACUCCCUACCCACCCAAACGGCUAUCACUGUCCGACAUGUUUUGGUGCUGUCCACUCCCCAGUCCCCGCCUCUCUCCCAAUGCAAACCAAUCACGUCUGCUUCCCCCUUCCUGAUUCCCUGUGAGUUCUCAAAUGAGGGCGUCAGUCCACCUAUCAGCUCCAAGCCUAGAGCUACAGUCAAACUGCCAUGAAGCCCCGUUUAUCUGUCUGCACUGUUGUCACCAACCAACUGAUGUCGAUAAAGUUAUUUAUUUUGUUAUUUUGGACGGCGGGGGCUAAUCCAGGGCAGGUUUUAGAGGGGAUCACCGCAGCACUGCCAAUCAACCUUGUCUGUCGCAACAGGAAGGGAUGUCAGACACCGUGCCACAGGACUUCCUGUGAGACUUUAGAAAUACUGAUUUACCCCCUGCACCCCCUACCACUCAUCCCCUUGGCCAUAGCCACUUCUGCCCCCUUCACCCCUCUGACCCCCCAGACAACCACACAACCUCACCCUCCCCUCACCCCUCUUCACCCCUCCUCACUCAUCCCUCUUCACCCCUCUUCAACCCUCUUCACCCCACUUCAACCAUCUUCAACCCUCUUCACCCCUCUUCAUCCCGCUUCACCCCUCUUCAACGCUUCAACACUUCAUUCCUUCACCCCUCUUCAACGCUUCAACACUUCAUUCCUCCUCACCCCUCUUCAACCCUCUUCACCCCACUUCAACUCUCUUCACCCCCUUCAUCCCUCUUCACCCCUCUUCAACCCUCUCCCCCCACUUCAACUCCCUUCACCCCACUUCAUCCCUCUUCACCCCGCUUCAACCCUCUCCCCCCACUUCAUCCCUCUUCACCCCGCUUCAACCCUCUUCACCCCGCUUCAACCCGCUUCACCCCUCCUCACCCCUCUUCACCCCUCUUCAACUCUCUUCACCCCUCUUCAUCCCUCUUCACCCCUCUUCAACUCUCUUCACCCCUCUUCAUCCCUCUUCACCCCUCUUCAACCCUCUUCACCCCUCUUCACCCCUCUUCACCCCUCUUCAUCCCGCUUCACCCCUCUUCAACGCUUCAACACUUCAUUCCUUCACCCCUCUUCAACGCUUCAACACUUCAUUCCUCCUCACCCCUCUUCAACCCUCUUCACCCCACUUCAACUCUCUUCACCCCCUUCAUCCCUCUUCACCCCUCUUCAACCCUCUCCCCCACUUCAACUCCCUUCACCCCACUUCAUCCCUCUUCACCCCGCUUCAACCCUCUCCCCCCACUUCAUCCCUCUUCACCCCGCUUCAACCCUCUUCACCCCGCUUCAACCCGCUUCACCCCUCCUCACCCCUCUUCACCCCUCUUCAACUCUCUUCACCCCUCUUCAUCCCUCUUCACCCCUCUUCAACUCUCUUCACCCCUCUUCAUCCCUCUUCACCCCUCUUCAACCCUCUUCACCCCUCUUCACCCCUCCUCACCCCUCUUCAUCCCUCUUCACCCCUCUUCACCCCUCCUCACCCCUCUUCACCCCUCCUCACCCCUCUUCACCUCUCCUCACCUCUCCUCACCCCUCUUCACCCCUCUUCACCCCUCUUCACCCCUCCUCACCCCGCUUCACCCCUCCUCACCUCUCCUCACCCCUCUUCAUCCCUCUUCACCUACCCCCCAACACAUCCUCAAGACUACAUACACCUCCAUACACUCAUACUGACAUGAUUUCUGAAUGUCUAAAUUGAGAUCCGUCCACCUCUGUCUGUCUUUCUGUCUGUGUGUCUGUCUGUAUGUCUUUUACUCUGUCUGUUGUUUACAAAUGUACCUGUCUGUCUCCAUCUACAGGUAGUCAGAGUACUGUCUGUCUUUUGGACCCGUACAAAAGUAUUUUUUCUAUUAGCAGAUGUGACUUGGUAUGGAUUAUUAUUUUUAAAGAUAUGUGUUUUUUGUUUUAUUAAUUGAUGAUUUGUUGAAUUUAACAGAGUUUUAAUGUUUUUUAACCCACUGUUUUAUAUAAUUUAAUUUAUUUGUAUUUAUUUCAGCAAUAUGUCCUUAAUGCCUUCUUCUUAGACCGUAUACUUUAGGGUUCAAAAUCUCUGCGUUUGUCUCCCAAAUGGCACCCUAUUCCCUUUAUAAUACACUUAUUUUUGUCAAAGAUAGUGCACUAUAUAGGGAAUAGGGUGCCUUUUGGGAUGCACAUUGUCUUUAUGUUUCUUUGAAUUAAUGUGUGUGUACGUGCAGGCAUGUAUGUGCUUGUGUGUGUUUUCAAUAUAACAGGGCAUAUACAUCACAUGUUCAUAUGCACAUACAUGUUGAUAUGUGACCCUGAUAUGUACAGUAGGUGUCUCUGUGUGUCUGAGAGUUAAGUCCUGCUGUGUUUUUUAGUUCUGUUCAUUUGUGUUGCAUUUUUUGGUGACAGGUUUAUAGGAAUGGAUGCUUGUGAACUUCCCAUCCCUUGAGACCACACACACACACACACACCAUCCUUAGCCUAAUUACCAUUCUCGCAGAAGGACUCUCAUGCUCUUGCAUUCACGGAAUCUCUCAUACACUAACAUAUUGUGUGUGUGUGUAUUUGAAGCCCUCAUACACUAAAAUAUUGUGUGUGUGUGUGUAUUUGAAGCCCUCAUACACUAACAUAUUGUGUGUUUGUGUGUGUGUGUACUUGAAGCUUUCACACAAUCACAUAUUGCGUGUGUGUGUAUUUGAACCUCUCAUACACUCAGGUAUUGUGUGUGUGUGUACUUGAAGCUUUCACACAAUCACAUAUUGUGUGUUUGUGUGUAUUUGGCGCUCUCACACACUCAAAUAUUGCGUGUGUGUAUUUGUGGUAGAAUUAUCUUUUCUAUGUUAAACUGGGUGUAUGUGACAAUAAAAAAACAUCUCAAUCUAAAGAGAUAAAGUGGAUCAGUGAAGGAGAGAGAGAGAGUUAUGUUUCCUCUGUCACCCUACCCCACUGCAUCCUGAUACACACUCACACACACACACACACUACACAGAACAUGACCAACGUGUACAUUGGACCACUGUACAGACCAACGUGGAAAAUACAACAAGAUUGCCAUAACAACACAAGUAAAUAAAGCAUCACACGUACAGUACGUAACUAUGGAAACAGCUGUGGAAAUAAUUGUAACAACAGGGUGUUGUUGUUUUUUGUUAGUAUUAUUAUGUUCUGGGUGUGAGCCAGACAAUGAUGGUCAAGUUUUUUGAUAGAGGUCUCUUUCUCCAUCUGUGAAUUGGCCUUCUUAGUGUUUCUCUAAAGAACAUUUAAACAACAGAAAUUUGUGCCAUUGUCAACUCUUCCUAUGAUCAAUGGUGCGUCCCAAAUGGCACCAUAUUCCUUAUAAAUAGCACUACUUUUGACAUAAACCUGGUGGGCUCUGGUCAAAAGUAGUACAUUAUAUAGGGAGCAGGGUGCCAUUUGGGAGGUACACUAAAUGUUUCUUUACCAAGACAACUGCAACACUUCUGGCCGCUGAUACAUUUAGCUCUGUGGAGUUGUUUCCCAAGCAAAGAUGCUAUAGAAAUAUAAGAUACCAUAGACAGGAUGAUGGUGUAACUAGUCGUGUGUGUGUGUGUGUGUGUGUGUGUGUGUGUGUGUGUGUGUGUGUGUGUGUGUGUGUGUGUGUGUGUGUGUGUGUGUGUGUGUGUGUGUGUGUGUGUGUGUGUGUGUGUGUGAAGGAACAGUAGAUAGAAUAGAAUGCAGUGAUGUCAUGCAUUGACCCAGCAAAUCGAUCGAAUCAGCAUGCAGAACUUUGGGUCACUACUCUUUUAAAAACAUAAAGUUACUAAAAAAACAAAACAUGAAAAAAUAUACAUCAAAUACUUACAGAAAGGAUUUACAAUAUUUAGCUUAAAAAAAGUUUCCACUUAUAAGAGAUGUGAUUUGAAAUCUCUUAUAUAUCUUUGUUUUCAAUGAUUACUGUUGGUUCUCAUUUUUUAUUUGUUGCUACACGUUCUUCUUAUAGUCAGUGUCCAUACUGUUAUUAUAAUUAUUAAUGUAAUUAAAAUGACUGAUAUUGAACAUAAGUAAGGUGGGAGUCAGCUGCUAUGUACUCUGUACUCUUCACCUCCUCUUCUUCCUCUUCCUCCUCCUCCCUGCUCCUCAACGUUUUAUGUUCUAUUUUAACAUCAACUGUAUGUCAAUCACACUCUGUUGGAGAGAAGACUUGGGAAGUAAAAUGGACAUUGUUUAAUAAACUAUUCAAAUGUGAAAUA
This 4658-nucleotide long non-coding RNA is filed under the name Salmo salar (Atlantic salmon). Its description in RNAcentral is "lncRNA (ENSSSAG00000084213.1)". Lineage: Eukaryota; Metazoa; Chordata; Actinopteri; Salmoniformes; Salmonidae. The record is from RNAcentral.